UUCCUGAGUUUACCUCAAUAAAGGGUGUUU
This 30-nucleotide non-coding RNA is filed under the name Rattus norvegicus (Norway rat). The record is from RNAcentral. Lineage: Eukaryota; Metazoa; Chordata; Mammalia; Rodentia; Muridae.